GGUGGUAAAUUCCAUCUAAGGCUAAAUAUAAGUGAGAGACCGAUAGCAAACAAGUACCGUGAGGGAAAGAUGAAAAGAACUUUGAAAAUAGAGUUAACAGUACGUGAAAUUGCUGAAAGGGAAACGUUUGAAGUUAGUUUUGUAUUCGUUGGAUCAGCUUCGCAAGGAGUGUAUUCUGAUGAUAAGCAAGUCAACAUCAGUCUAUGAGUGUCGGAUAAGGGUUUUGAGGACGUAGCAAUUUAAUUGUGUUAUAACUUGAAGCUUGGAUACGAUGCUUUGGAUUGAGGAACGCGUAGUAAGCUUUGAGCGGAUUCGAAAGGAUCUCCUUACUAUGGAUGUUGGUGAAAUAACUUUAAGCGACCCGUCUUGAAACACGGACCAAGGAGUCUAACAUGCUUGCGAGUAUUAGGGUGUUGAAACCCGAAUGCGUAAUGAAAGUGAAUCUAAGAUGUGAUCCGCAAGGUGCAACAUCGGCCGGUCUGGAUCAUUUAUGUGAAGGUACUGAGCAAGAGCAAGUAUGUUAGGACCCGAAAGAUGGUGAACUAUGCCUGGAUAGGGUGAAGUCAGAGGAAACUCUGAUGGAAGCUCGUAGCGGUUCUGACGUGCAAAUCGAUCGUAGAAUCUGGGUAUAGGGGCGAAAGACUAAUCGAACCAUCUAGUAGCUG
Molecule: ribosomal RNA, 665 nt
Filed under: Melampsora epitea
Lineage: Eukaryota; Fungi; Basidiomycota; Pucciniomycetes; Pucciniales; Melampsoraceae
Description: eukaryotic LSU rRNA
Rfam family: Eukaryotic large subunit ribosomal RNA
Source: RNAcentral